Molecule: transfer RNA, 71 nt
Organism: Loxodonta africana (African savanna elephant)
Lineage: Eukaryota; Metazoa; Chordata; Mammalia; Proboscidea; Elephantidae
Rfam family: tRNA
About the family: Transfer RNA (tRNA) molecules are approximately 80 nucleotides in length. Their secondary structure includes four short double-helical elements and three loops (D, anti-codon, and T loops).
Source: Rfam
GCAAUGAUAGUUCAGUGGCAGAGUUCUCACCUCCCAUGCGGGAGACCUGGGUUCGAUUCCCAGUCAAUGCA